ACAGAUUUAUUUCCCCAGUUACCUGCUUCUUUUCUAAUUUUAGCUACAUUGGUUCCAUAGGUUCAAAAACGUUUUAAUUUUAUGUAAUCAGAAUUGUCCGGCUUAUCUUUUGGGAUCCUCUCUACUUUCGUUUGGUCAUGAACUAUUCCCCUGUUCGUAGGUCUGAAAGGUAAUUCUCCUGUUCCUCUGAUUUGUUCAUAAUGGCAUCCUUUAUGUCUAAUUCUGCUCAUGUCUCCUUUCUAGGUUUUCAUGACCCUGCUUUCUCCUGGUUCUCCUCUUAACUGUCUGACCUCAGUUACCUUUGCUGGAUCUUUAUCCAGGUCAAGUUGCUAACCAUGGGUGUUUUCCAAAGCUCUGUCCUCUACCUUCUUUUCUCUGUCUGUACUCAAACUCUCAGAUCACUUCACCCAUCCUUAACUUCUCUGCUGAGCUCCAUUCUCACGUCUCCAGCUGUCUAUUGGACAUCUUGAACUGGAUGUUCCAUUAACAUCUUACCUCAGUGUGUAUGAAACUGAACUCAUUAUUGUUCCCCCCAAAUCUUCCCCUCUUCCUAACUUCCCUAUUACUGUUGAGAGCACCACCAUCUUUCCAGUCACCCAGGCUUGCAGUCUGUGUCAUCCUUGACUCCUGACUAUCUUUCACUUCCUCCCCAUCCCCACUCCUCACCCCUGUCCCCCAUAUCCAAUCUUUUGCCACGACCUGUCAGUUCUACCUUGGCAACAUCUCUCAUAUGUGUCUCCUUCUCUCCUGUGACCCUGCUCCCACCCUGGUGUGGGACCACAUCACCUCAUGUCUGGAGUGUGUCAGUAGCCUGCUGGACAAUUCUCUCUCCACUCCAGUCCGUCUUCCAGUGGAUCCUUGUAUGUUGCUGCAAUAUAUGGUAUUAUGUGUUUCACACAUUAGAAGUGUUCUGCUCGUCAUCACUGACAUGGAUGCUGCACCCCUGCAAUGAAUUUUUUGAGGAUUCUGGAGAAGGAAAGCACAUCGAGGCCUAGAUGGCCCAGAGUUGUGAGUUGUCUUGGCCACAUAUUCCCUACACAUAUGCCUCAGUACCAUUGUACUUUAAGUUUGUGUCUAAUCUCUUCCAACCCCUGACUCCUCUCUGCCUCUUUGUGGGAGAGCGUGACCCAGGAUUGGGGGUGAAAUGCUUUGUAACCCUUCCCCCUCCAUUGUUGUUGAGUUGUGUCUGACUCUUCACAACUCCAUUUUGGGGUAAUGCUAAUUCUUUACAGAUUUCUAGGAGGAAGGACACCCAACCCUGAUAAUCAGGGUUUUGUUGAUGGAGCUGCUAUUAUGAGUCCAUUCCAGUGUUCGAUACCAGUGCCAGCUGCUUGAGAAUGAUUCUGGAGAUAGAAAACCUCUGGGUGACAGCAGAUCCAGUGUCGUACCUGUCCUGUGGUAAAGUCAGAGGCAGUGAUGCGAGGGAUUCCAUAAGGAGGAAGGACAUGUUUUAUAAAACCUUGGUUAGUGGCUGCCAUGGUAGCAGACUUAACUGGCACUGCAGUGCCAUAUCCUGAAUUGAAUAUCAAUUACAGUAAGGGAACCUUCUUACCUAGAGGUUGGGAAAGAGGGCCAAUAGAUCAUUUUUGCCAGUCAAAGGCAAGUCAGGAACCAUGUGGGAUCAUCCCAUACCAGUCUUUCAGAGGUGGAUGCUCUGAUUGAUACUAGGGGGAGAAUCAUUGAACAGAAGUAGAUGCCUCAUCCUUACUUAAGGGGAUCAUACGGUCCUGUGCCCACCACAGCAUGGCAUCAUAGCUCCCAUAGCCAAAAUGAUGAUGGACCCCAUCCUGACACAUUACAAGUGCUUAGUAAGUGUUUUUUGCUUGCCUGCCUGCCUGCUCAUACUCCAUGCUGUCAUUCCCAGAAGAGCCUCAGCUUGACUAGGCAGCUCACUUGAGGUUGUUUGGUGUUUCUAAUACGCGCUAAUAUUCCCCAUAUAGAACAUCACAGUG
This 1952-nucleotide long non-coding RNA is filed under the name Vombatus ursinus (common wombat). RNAcentral describes it as "lncRNA (ENSVURG00010003509.1)". The record is from RNAcentral. Lineage: Eukaryota; Metazoa; Chordata; Mammalia; Diprotodontia; Vombatidae.